UAUAUACUCCCUCCGUCCCAAAAAUUUUGUCUCAGGUUUAUCUAAAAAUGAAUGUAUCUAAAUACUAAAAGGUGACUAGAUACAUUCAUAUUUAGACAAAUCUAAGACAAGAAUUUUGGGAAGGUGGGAGUAUAUU
Molecule: non-coding RNA, 136 nt
Organism: Hordeum vulgare subsp. vulgare (domesticated barley)
Lineage: Eukaryota; Viridiplantae; Streptophyta; Magnoliopsida; Poales; Poaceae
Source: Rfam